AGAGUUUGAUCCUGGCUCAGAUUGAACGCUGGCGGCAGGCCUAACACAUGCAAGUCGAGCGGUUGAAGGAAGCUUGCUUCCUGAUUCAGCGGCGGACGGGUGAGUAAUGCCUAGGAAUCUGCCUGGUAGUGGGGGACAACGUUUCGAAAGGAACGCUAAUACCGCAUACGUCCUACGGGAGAAAGCAGGGGACCUUCGGGCCUUGCGCUAUCAGAUGAGCCUAGGUCGGAUUAGCUAGUUGGUGAGGUAAUGGCUCACCAAGGCGACGAUCCGUAACUGGUCUGAGAGGAUGACCAGUCACACUGGAACUGAGACACGGUCCAGACUCCUACGGGAGGCAGCAGUGGGGAAUAUUGGACAAUGGGCGAAAGCCUGAUCCAGCCAUGCCGCGUGUGUGAAGAAGGUCUUCGGAUUGUAAAGCACUUUAAGUUGGGAGGAAGGGCAGUAAGCGAAUACCUUGCUGUUUUGACGUUACCGACAGAAUAAGCACCGGCUAACUCUGUGCCAGCAGCCGCGGUAAUACAGAGGGUGCAAGCGUUAAUCGGAAUUACUGGGCGUAAAGCGCGCGUAGGUGGUUUGUUAAGUUGAAUGUGAAAUCCCCGGGCUCAACCUGGGAACUGCAUCCAAAACUGGCAAGCUAGAGUAGGGCAGAGGGUGGUGGAAUUUCCUGUGUAGCGGUGAAAUGCGUAGAUAUAGGAAGGAACACCAGUGGCGAAGGCGACCACC
RNAcentral lists this ribosomal RNA (726 nucleotides) under uncultured Pseudomonas sp. Its description in RNAcentral is "bacterial SSU rRNA". It matches the Rfam family "Bacterial small subunit ribosomal RNA", at positions 8 to 729 of the family's 1533-position model. The record is from RNAcentral. Lineage: Bacteria; Pseudomonadati; Pseudomonadota; Gammaproteobacteria; Pseudomonadales; Pseudomonadaceae.